Molecule: long non-coding RNA, 426 nt
Organism: Zonotrichia leucophrys gambelii
Lineage: Eukaryota; Metazoa; Chordata; Aves; Passeriformes; Passerellidae
Exons: 3
Source: RefSeq, a predicted model, not a curated record
GUUGGCUACUGUGAGAAGAAGGAAGAGUCAGUGCUUACAGGAGAUGCCUAUGAGAAACAUCAAGGAGCAUCAUUGCAGCACUGAGUCACCUGUUUGGUAUCCAAGACAGAAUCUGAUCUGAAACAUCUUUAACAGUUUAUGGGGAGUUCUGUAACCAUGAGCACACUGGGAGGGAUAAGAAUCAGAAAGAGGAGAAAAAGAGCACACAGCAUAGAGAAUCAUUUUGCAGUUGACAUUCUAACAAGGGGAUGACAGCCAGGCACCAUUUAAAGCAACAAAACUGUUCAGGAGACAUUGUGCACAGCAGAAGAGCUGUGUAUGUGUAUGUAGUUAAUGCAUGCAAAUAAGAACUGAAGAUUGAUCCCUUUUCCAUUAUCUAUGAAACUCAGAUAACCAUUUCCUUUAAACAAUUAGAUAAAAUCGGUA